Oncorhynchus tshawytscha (Chinook salmon) is the source of this 1822-nucleotide long non-coding RNA. Lineage: Eukaryota; Metazoa; Chordata; Actinopteri; Salmoniformes; Salmonidae. The record is from Ensembl.
CUCAUUCAUAUUAAUGACGCAGAUCCCGCUGCAAGUCCUGCCUCUCCCAUCUCCUCACGUGCCAUUUCCUCAUUAGUUAUACCCACGUGGAGUGAUUGAAAGACGAACUGUUUUUGCCGGUAGUCGUGGUAAUACAAUGACAGUUUAGAUGCGAACACCAUAUAAAUUAAACGAUGAAAAAGCCUGGAAGGAGGAGAGAUGGCUAGAAACGAUUCGGUUGGCCGUUUUAUGUGUGGAUUAAUUGUAGGAGUAGAGGUCCUUGUGCAUUUCAGGUAUUGUGACUCAAACCAUAGCUGGGUUUUCACCCACAAACCACAGCUGGUUAGGAGCAGCUCUCCUCACCUCCAAGUCAGGGGCAGACCUGCAGUUACCCAACAGCGCUUUCACCUGCCUGUCUGUGGGAUUCCAGACAGAUUCCAGACACUUCCCAGGCCAUCCAUCACCCAUGGGAGCGCCACAUGGAGCGGAGUAUCAGACCACACAAUCACCCAACAUACUGGAUGACCCUGAAGUAUAGAACUCGCAGAAUGUCUCGAUGUGUGUGUGUGUCCAUUCUCUCCUCAGGGCGAAUAAUAUGUAGCCAAACCCCUUGCAUAUUUCAUUCUGUCUAGGCUUUCCAUGUACCUAUUAUGUGUGCCUCUCUCCACUGGGAAAUCAGAUGCAAGCCUCAACCUAACAUAAUAUGAGAUUUUGGGCAACCUGUGAUCAUUGCAUGGGUGAAUGGACUUUGUAGUUUUGUCUUUGGAGGGAACUUGCAUGAUCCUAAUUCGUUAUUAUUAAAAGGGCUACAAUUACCAAUCCCACAACCAGCGCAUUAAAAGUCAGUCGUUAAUGCAUUAUAAUUAGCCUUUUAAAGGGAAUGAAUAUAACACACACUCAGUGCACAAAACAUUCGCAUCACCUUCCUAAUAUUGAGCUCACCCCCCUUUUGCCUCAGAAUAGCCUCUACAAGGUGUCGAAAUGCGUGCCGUAGGGAUGCUGGCACACGUGGACUCGCUUGAUUCUUAAGUUGUGUCAAGUUGGCUGGAUGUCCUUUAUGUGGUGGACCAUCCUUGAUACACACGGGGAACUGUUGAGCGUAAAAAACUCAGCAGCGUUGUAGUUCUUGACACACUCAAUCCGGUUUGCCUGGCACCUACUACCAUGCUUCCGGUGGCGCUGCACAGCCAUUUUUUUGUGGUUUCAGUUAGCUUUUUCUUGUUCUAUAUGAUACCCUAAUGUGGAUUAUUCCCCUUGUGGAUUAUACAUAUAAUGGACGUGAUACGAGCUGUAUCCACAUGUGUUGUCUGCUGGAGUUAUUGCUAGGGAUUUAUUUAUGUAUUUAUGCAUCUAUUGGUGAUGCUGUGCUGUUGUUUGUGGGGAUGCAAGACACCAAAAGGGACACACAUAAAAUAAUUACUAAUACCCCGUUCAAAGGAACCUAAACAUUUUGUCUUGUCUCCUCCCCUUCAUCUACACUGAUUGAAGUGGAUUUAACAACUGGCAUCAAUAAGGAGAUCAUAGCUUUCACCUGGAUUCACCUGGUCAGUUUAUGUCAUGGAAAGAGCAGGUGUUCCUAAUAAGGUUUGUACAUUCCACAUAUAAUACAACAUUCAGAACAUAUUUAGACACAAUGCUUUUGAUUAAGUUGGCUCUCGGCUCCCAAUGGUGUCUUCUGUAGGUAAUAACAUGGUAAAUAUACCUGCAUUAUGUACGGCCCUAAUUGUUGCAAGUGUUCGAUGGUCUUAAUUGAAACGUUAUUGUAAAUGUUAUGUAUAUUCUCUCACCACGUGAAGAUUAGUUCAUUAUUUCAACAUGAAUAAAAUAUAGCCAAAUGUUUGAC